RNAcentral lists this ribosomal RNA (195 nucleotides) under uncultured Gammaproteobacteria bacterium. Its description in RNAcentral is "partial 16S ribosomal RNA". It matches the Rfam family "Bacterial small subunit ribosomal RNA", at positions 337 to 524 of the family's 1533-position model. Lineage: Bacteria; Pseudomonadati; Pseudomonadota; Gammaproteobacteria. The record is from RNAcentral.
UCCUACGGGAGGCAGCAGUGGGGAAUAUUGGACAAUGGGCGCAAGCCUGAUCCAGCCAUGCCGCGUGUGUGAAGAAGGCUCUAGGGUUGUAAAGCACUUUAAGUUGUGAGGAAGUUACGAUUGCAAAUAGUGAUCGUAAUUGACGUUAGCAACAGAAUAAGCACCGGCUAACUCCGUGCCAGCAGCCGCGGUAAU